AAUAGAUACCCUGGUAGUCCACGCCGUAAACGAUGUCGACUUGGAGGUUGUGCCCUUGAGGCGUGGCUUCCGGAGCUAACGCGUUAAGUCGACCGCCUGGGGAGUAUGGCCGCAAGGUUAAAACUCAAAUGAAUUGACGGGGGCCCGCACAAGCGGUGGAGCAUGUGGUUUAAUUCGAUGCAACGCGAAGAACCUUACCUACUCUUGACAUCCAGAGAACUUAGCAGAGAUGCUUUGGUGCCUUCGGGAACUCUGAGACAGGUGCUGCAUGGCUGUCGUCAGCUCGUGUUGUGAAAUGUUGGGUUAAGUCCCGCAACGAGCGCAACCCUUAUCCUUUGUUGCCAGCGGUCCGGCCGGGAACUCAAAGGAGACUGCCAGUGAUAAACUGGAGGAAGGUGGGGAUGACGUCAAGUCAUCAUGGCCCUUACGAGUAGGGCUACACACGUGCUACAAUGGCAUAUACAAAGAGAAGCGACCUCGCGAGAGCAAGCGGACCUCAUAAAGUAUGUCGUAGUCCGGAUUGG
RNAcentral lists this ribosomal RNA (524 nucleotides) under uncultured bacterium. RNAcentral's name for it is "bacterial SSU rRNA". It matches the Rfam family "Bacterial small subunit ribosomal RNA", at positions 777 to 1301 of the family's 1533-position model. The record is from RNAcentral.